This is a long non-coding RNA of Globicephala melas (long-finned pilot whale), 1223 nucleotides long. RefSeq lists it as uncharacterized. Lineage: Eukaryota; Metazoa; Chordata; Mammalia; Artiodactyla; Delphinidae. The record is from RefSeq and is a predicted model, not a curated record.
UGUCCUGCUGGAGGACAAGACCACAGGGAACAAAGCUGAGACCAUGCAAAACAGGCUGCCACAGCCAGUGGGACACAAGAGGGAGACCAGCGAGACCAGCCAAGCUGGGCUCAGAUGGGCAGAGCUGCCCAGGCAGCUGGCAGGCAGACCUGAGCCAGAAACCCAGCCAACGAAAACAAGACGCGCUGACCAGCUCUGUAGGAGGAAGGGGACCCCUAGCAGAGCUCCUAAAUCCCUUGGAAUCUACUGGGUGGAAGGAGGAUCUUUUGCUGCAAUUCUGUGACUCUAAGUGGGUUCCUGGAUGGCUUCUGGAUCAGGGCUGGUCACCAGAAAGAUCAAGCCAUGAUAAGGAGCUUGGAACUUUCAGCCCAGCUGGAGAUGGAGUUAAUGAUCGAUCGUGCCUGUGUGAUGAAGCUGGCUAUAUAAAAGUCCCUAAAGAUGGGGUUCAGAGAGCUCCUGGCUGGUGAAUACAUCCAUAUGAUGGGGGGCUCACUCCAGCUCCACGGACACAGAAGCUCCUGUGCUCAGGGCCCUUCUGGACCUUGCCCUGUCUAUUUCUUCAUCUAGCGGUUCACUCAUAUCCUUCAAUAUCCUUUGUAAUAAGCUGGUUAUCUAGUAGGUAAACUGUUUUCCUGAGUCCCGUGAGCUGUUCUAACAAAAUAUCAAAUUGGAGAAAGGGGCUCAUGGGAACCCCAGCUUAUGGCCAGUUGGUCAGAAGCACAGGUGACAACGUGGACUCAAUGUUGGCAUCUGAAGUGGAGGCGGGGCCAGGCGGGUCUGCACUAACUCUGGUCAGUGUCAGAAUUGGGUUGAACUUAGGACGCCCAGCUGGUGCUGGAGAAUUGCUGGGUGUGGAAAACCCACACAUCUAGUGUCAGAAGUGUCACGUGAGAAUAAAGAAGAACACAGGGGUGUUUUUCCAAGGCAGCACCCCAAGGCUGCUCUUCACCAGCUGUGCAAACUCCAGCAAGUCACUUGACCUCUCUGUGCCUCUCUCUCCUUCCCAGCAAGAUGGGAACAUGGAUGUCAUCCACUGACAGGAAUGUCCUGGGCCUCAAUGAGCUGACACGUGUAAAGUGCUUAGAACUGCUCCUGGCAGAGAGCGCUGCUCUCAUUUUAAGUGCACAUGCUUAAAAAAAACAUUUUAUUAUUGAAAUUUCAAACAUAUCCAGAAGUGGAGAGGUGAUAUGCCGAACUUUCCGCCUCUGUCAUCAAAGUUCUCA